This 4191-nucleotide long non-coding RNA is filed under the name Homo sapiens (human). Its description in RNAcentral is "HSALNT0391275". The record is from RNAcentral. Lineage: Eukaryota; Metazoa; Chordata; Mammalia; Primates; Hominidae.
CCAUUCUGUAGGUUGUCUGUUUACUCUAGUGUUAGUUUCUUUUGCUAUACAGAAGCUCUUUAAUUCCCAAACUGAUUUUAAUGGCUAAUCAAAAAUAUGAGGAGGUAAUUUGUAAUAUUUCCUGCAUACAGUAAUUUCAUAAGAUUUUCUUUAAGUUGUAGGUUUUUAUUGGAUUGAUUUUAAGUAAAUAUUAUUGAUGGAAAUUCUCACAAGUCUUCAUUAUUGGGAAGCAGAAUUAAAGACUGAAGGAAGUACCCACUCAUAUCUAUACAAAGUCAGAUGAUUUUAAAGUCUCCAACAAAGUUAUAUGUAGUAAAUUGGAAAACAACACAACAAGACCCUGUGAAAAAGAGACCUAGUGGGAAAGGACCAAGCCCGUCAUUAGCAGUGAAAACUUGGGAUGUUAUUAAUGUAAGCCUCACCCUUAAAAUGGGAAAACCAAUAUCUACCUUGGUGGCAUUAAAGGAGCAAAUCAAUAUAGGCUGUGAUGCUCAAUAAAUAUGUCUGGGAUAAAUGAACGCUGUAAGUUACCCAUCAGCUACACUGCCGUUUCUGGCAGGUACCUUCUUAUUAACAAGUGGUUGCUCAUGAGAAUAAUAAUAGCACCUAGAAUUUAUUGCGUAUGUGUUACAUGCAAGGCACAGUUCUCAGCAUUUCACACGAAUUGCUUAAUUUAAUGAUCACUACAGCUGCAUGGGGUAUUACUUCCUCUGUUUCGAGGACCUUGUCCACAUACACAGAGCUUGUACAGAUGUAAGCAGUCGGCUUUCCCAUAUAAUUGUAUUUAGUCCUUCAGCUGAAAUUACUCUUCAUCACAAGUCUGUUUCCACUAGCUCGUGUAAGGAUUAUUGCUGAACUAUGUCAGGGCUAUAUAUAAAUUCUGGUAUCCAAAGGAAAAAGUCCAGGAUUAAAUCCACUGUACAGGCUUUCUACUCACAUGUCCAGGCUCUUCUGGAUCACAGAGGCAGGUUAUAAAACUGUUUACCAGAAACUGUUUUGACACGACCCAGGUCUAUCCAGGGAGAUCUAGACUCAAUCAAAAAACUAAAUUGCCACGACCUUUGCCCAACAUAUUUUCACCUUCCUGGACUUUGGUUCCUCUGAUGCUAAAAUGGAAAACGUUUGGGCAAUCGACUAGCUGAUUUUCUCACUAAACGGUGCUCUGGUGUUUGAGAAGGGUACCACACCAGCUUUACAGAUAAGGUCACCAAGUUUUGUAUUCUUCAAUAGCUCUGUAGUGUGUUUACAAACGAAUGCCCCUUCCCUAAGCAGGGGGUUUGGAUGACAUUGAAAAGCCUAUUCCCUACUUGACAUAAAUUACUUUAGCAGAAGGGUAAGGCUGAAGUGACUAUUUGAAAAGUUGUGUCUGCGAUCCUUAUUUGCAGAUGCUGAGCAAGAUCAGUGCUGUUUGUAUCAUGUGUGGCAGUGUCCCCUCUCAAUAUCAAAGUAAAGGGCUCUUAGUCCCUUAAUGGAUUCCCUGCUCACCUUAUCCCAAUGAUAUUCUCAACCUGAUGCUUCUCACUUCCUGGUAGAACACUCAUCAGUCUCAGACUAGACUAAACACUCAAGAUCACUGAGAUUCUGAAAUCUGGCUUCAUGCCAGAAACCUUAACAUUCAAAGUGAAAUGAACACACUUAACCAAAUACAUCUUGAUGACUCUCUCAGGGCAUUUUCUGUACAGGGAGAACUUCCAUCUCUUAAUCUCAAGAAUGGUACUUUCUCCCCCAAGAAACUGGUCCAUUCUCCAAUGCCUAAAAUAUAAACAAACAAAGUGGGACACCAAAUAACACUCUCACUGCAUCCAGCCCUGUAGCCAGAAUACGAGUCUAAUUACAGUCGUUGGGCUUCAAGUACCACAACGUGGAAAAACAAUUUAGAAAAUGCCUUCUCCUCCUUGUGGCCACCCCACUUCUCCUUCACAUGCAGAAUGCUUCCAAGUAUGAUAUGUUCUAGACUUAAUUUUAGCACAAGGCUCUUUGCUUUGUAACUCUGGUCUCUUCAUUCAAAGUUUACAUAAAUGGAAAUAGGAAAAUACACAGACUUUUCAAAAAAAAGUUGACUGUGAGAAAAUAAAAAGAUUGUAGUCUAUUGAGAAAGACAUAAACAUCUAAGGAAAGUUUUGAUGCUUGGGACUUUUUGUACAUUUGUUACUACUUUCUUAAAAAAUGAUGGGAAAUUUGAGCAACUGUCAAGCCAAGAAAAAAAGCCCAUGAGGGAAAGGGUCAAAAGAGGCCAGAGAGGUACACAGAAAUGAUGAAGCAGUGUCCCAAGGGACAACGUGGGAUCAAGAACACAGGAGACAGGUAGCCUCAGAGACAGGAGUGAAGGAUGUCUCUCUUUAAGACAAGAAGGAAAAGGGGCAAAAGCGGGUGACAAACAGAAAAAUCUGAUGUGAAGGGAAGCUGUGAGAGGCACUCAGUAUAGAUGUAUAACAGGGUGUUCUGCCAAGAUUUCCCAUGGGGUCCUAAGCAGCAUGAAGCCAAGAAACAUUAGGAACAGCCACAAUAGGUCAGCAAAGGAGUUCCCGUAGUUUCAAAUGAAAUUUUACCCAGUACUCUAACAGUGUAUAAGCUUCUGAGGAAGUAGUCAAUGUUCCAUAGAGAUAAGAGAAAAUUCAAACAGGCAAACAACUCUGCAAGGCUGAAUUGCAGGCAUGAUCUAAAACUUCCUUCUUUCUUCUAAAGGCCUCCUCCGUUCCAAAGUUGCUCAUCCUAAAACCUGAAAAAAAAAAUGACUCAGAAGUGGUUCCCAUCUCAAGAACUACCCACGAGUCUCAGUGGACACAUUCCCCGAUGCAGCCUUCCAAUCCAGCAGAGGUUCCAACCAACUUCCAAACAGGUGCAACUUGAUGGCACCUCAUUUUUGGCUGUACCAGAUGCCUUCUAUCUCUGGACUCCUGCCCUCAGACUUCUCCGACACCUGAAGAAAGCUUCUGGGACAGCUGACAUGCACAACCUGGGAGCUAAAACAUGUGGGACCAGCUGUGACCAAUGAACAAUGAUGGACAGGAGACGAUAACCCCAUUAGUUCCUUACAGUGCUGAGAUAAAUUUCAUGAGUCUCCUAGAAGAUCUGAUGGGAUUGAACAUCAGUUGUACCUAGCAUGGCCGCUGUACUGGCUUUCCUUCCUUCCCUAUUUCAUCCCCCCUCGUCCCUCCUACUCCUUGGGAUCACAUUGACAAAUAAGUCUCUUGCAUGCAAUUCUUUAUUUCAAGCUCUGUAUUCAGUUAGCAGACAGCAGAAAUGUGGUCCAAAGCAGGAGAGGACUCAGCAGCAGCAGGCUCUGGUACAAUCUGCCCUGUCACUCAAGCCAUGUGAAUGAGAAGAUCCAGUGGUGGCUGGUUGAAUGCAUGACUCCCCUGUGGAUGUCAGCCAGAGUCUUCUUCUCAGACAACCAGUGCUAGCACAAUGGGCCCAUGGAUGAGAUGGCUCAGGUGGCAGGAUAAAGGCUGUAUGUGGGCUCGGUAUUGUGGGCUUUCUCUUAGCAAUGACCUAGCUAUUACCACUGCUGAAUGGUCCAGCCAACCAAUGGCAGAGGGAGAUGCCAAUCUCUAUAGCACCUUCACAGAUAUCAGCCAGGCCCUUGGGGAAAGGCUGAUCAUAACAGACCACUUCCACCCCAAAAAGGAGAGGGGAGAUAGAAAUUCAUGCUUACAUAAAUUGACAUGUACUCCAGGUUUGGGUUUGCUUUCUCUGCCUUUAGGGUCUCUGCAAGUGCCACUAUUUGAGAACAUAAGAAUGCCUAAUCUAUCAGUGUAGUAUCCCACACAACAUUGCUUCAGACCCAGGGAUCGAUAUAUGUCAAAGGAGGUGCAGCAAUGAGUGUAUGAGUAGGGACUCCAUGAGUUUUCUCAUAUACCACCUCAUUCACAAGCAUCCAGCUUAACUGAAGACUGGAUUGGCCUGUUAAAGGCUUAGUUAGGAGACUAGCCUGAGAAACACAAUCUGCGAUUCCAGUAUCACCUUGAUUCACGCCCCGGCCCUGGAAUUUCUGCAAGGUAGCUUGGUUUUUUGGUUUUGUUUUUGAGGGGUUUUUUAGUGAAGAAUGGUGUCAGAAUCUGGGUAGCAGGUGUUCUCAUUGUUAUUGGGAUCUCAUUUCUUCUUGGUCCUUUUAAGAGGCAGAGCUAGGAAAUAUAUGACCGUAUGUAUACUAUACAUAUAUAUGUCUUCACACAUAUUUAUAAAUAUACA